This 301-nucleotide ribosomal RNA is filed under the name uncultured bacterium. RNAcentral's name for it is "partial 16S ribosomal RNA". It matches the Rfam family "Bacterial small subunit ribosomal RNA", at positions 509 to 809 of the family's 1533-position model. The record is from RNAcentral.
CAGUAGCCGCGGUAAUGCGAAGGGUGCAAGCGUUACUCGGAAUUACUGGGCGUAAAGCGUGCGUAGGUGGUGGUUUAAGUCCGUUGUGAAAGCCCUGGGCUCAACCUGGGAAUUGCAGUGGAUACUGGGUCACUAGAGUGUGGUAGAGGAUAGUGGAAUUUCCGGUGUAGCAGUGAAAUGCGUAGAGAUCGGAAGGAACAUCUGUGGCGAAGGCGACUAUCUGGGCCAACACUGACACUGAGGCACGAAAGCGUGGGGAGCAGACAGGAUUAGAUACCCGCGUAGUCCCUGUCUCUUAUAA